GAUGAACGCUGGCGGCGUGCCUAAUACAUGCAAGUCGAACGAAAAGACGAGGAGCUUGCCUGUCUGACGUUAGCGGCGGAGGGGUGAGUAACAUGUGGAGAACCCAGCUAUAAGACGGGGAAAACUUCCGGAAACCGGAGGUAAAUACGGAUAAACUUCUGAAGAGCAUGGUGGAAUACUUUAAGGCGGUUUUCCAUUCACUGAUAGCAGGUUCCGCUCCGCAUUAGCUAGUGGGUAGGGUAACGGCUUACCAAGGCCACAAUGCGUAGCCGACCUGAGAGGGUGAUCGGCCACACUGGAACUGAGACACGGUCCAGACUCCUACGGGAGGCAGCAGUAGGGAAUAUUGCACAAUGGGCGAAAGCCUGACGGAGCAACGCCGCGUGAAUGAUGAAGGUCUUCGGGUCGUAAAGCUCUGUUAGCGGGGAAGAACAAAUUUGUAAUUAUCCAUGCACUCCUUGACGGUACCUGAUCAAAAAGCCCCGGCUAACUCCGUG
This 497-nucleotide ribosomal RNA is filed under the name uncultured bacterium. RNAcentral's name for it is "partial 16S ribosomal RNA". It matches the Rfam family "Bacterial small subunit ribosomal RNA", at positions 28 to 507 of the family's 1533-position model. The record is from RNAcentral.